RNAcentral lists this unclassified non-coding RNA (337 nucleotides) under soil metagenome. Its description in RNAcentral is "partial contains 5.8S ribosomal RNA, internal transcribed spacer 2, and large subunit ribosomal RNA". The stretch from base 1 to 120 matches the Rfam family "5.8S ribosomal RNA", at positions 35 to 154 of the family's 154-position model. The record is from RNAcentral.
GAUGAAGAACGUAGCGAAAUGCGAUAAGUAAUGUGAAUUGCAGAAUUCAGUGAAUCAUCGAAUCUUUGAACGCACAUUGCGCUCCCUGGUAUUCCGAGGGGCAUGCCUGUUCGAGCGUCAUUUCAACCCCUCAAGCUCAGCUUGGUGUUGGGCUGCGCCAGCGUGCUGGCGGGCCUUAAAAUCAGUGGCGGUGCCGCGUGGGCUCCAAGCGUAGUAGCAUCUCUCGCUCUGGGGACCCGGCGGUUGCCUGCCAGACAAUCACUAAAAAAAACAAAAGGUUUGACCUCGGAUCAGGUAGGGAUACCCGCUGAACUUAAGCAUAUCAAUAAGCGGAGGA